UACAGAGGUCUCAAGCGUUGUUCGGAUUCAUUGGGCGUAAAGGGUGCGUAGGCGGCGCGGUAAGUCGGGUGUGAAAUUUCGAGGCUUAACUUCGAAACUGCAUUCGAUACUGCCGUGCUUGAGGACUGGAGAGGAGACUGGAAUUUACGGUGUAGCGGUGAAAUGCGUAGAUAUCGUAAGGAAGACCAGUGGCGAAGGCGGGUCUCUGGACAGUUCCUGACGCUGAGGCACGAAGGCCAGGGGGGCAAACGGG
RNAcentral lists this ribosomal RNA (253 nucleotides) under uncultured bacterium. RNAcentral describes it as "partial 16S ribosomal RNA". It matches the Rfam family "Bacterial small subunit ribosomal RNA", at positions 524 to 776 of the family's 1533-position model. The record is from RNAcentral.